GAUGAACGCUGGCGGCGUGCCUAAUACAUGCAAGUCGAGCGAACAGACGAGGAGCUUGCUCCUCUGACGUUAGCGGCUGACGGGUGAGUAACACGUGGAUAACCUACCUAUUAGACUUGGAUAACUUCGUGAAACCGGAGCUAAUACCGGAUAAUAUAUUGAACCGCAUGGUUCAAUAGUUCAAGACGGUUUUGCUGUCACUUAUAGAUGGAUCCGCGCUGCAUUAGCUAGUUGGUAAGGUAACGGCUUACCAAGGCAACGAUGCGUAGCCGACCUGAGAGGGUGAUCGGCCACACUGGAACUGAGACACGGUCCAGACUCCUACGGGAGGCAGCAGUAGGGAAUCUUCCGCAAUGGGCGAAAGCCUGACGGAGCAACGCCGCGUGAGUGAAGAAGGUCUUCGGAUCGUAAAACUCUGUUAUUAGGGAAGAACAAAUGUGUAAGUAACUAUGCACGUCUUGACGGUACCUAAUCAGAAAGCCACGGCUAACUACGUG
RNAcentral lists this ribosomal RNA (497 nucleotides) under uncultured bacterium. RNAcentral describes it as "partial 16S ribosomal RNA". It matches the Rfam family "Bacterial small subunit ribosomal RNA", at positions 28 to 507 of the family's 1533-position model. The record is from RNAcentral.